Molecule: ribosomal RNA, 751 nt
Filed under: fungal sp.
Lineage: Eukaryota; Fungi
Description: eukaryotic LSU rRNA
Rfam family: Eukaryotic large subunit ribosomal RNA (bases 489-751)
Source: RNAcentral
CAUUACACAAAUAUGAAGGCGGGCUGGAACCUCUCGGGGUUACAGCCUUGCUGAAUUAUUCACCCUUGUCUUUUGCGUACUUCUUGUUUCCUUGGUGGGUUCGCCCACCACUAGGACAAACAUAAACCUUUUGUAAUUGCAAUCAGCGUCAGUAACAAAUUAAUAAUUACAACUUUCAACAACGGAUCUCUUGGUUCUGGCAUCGAUGAAGAACGCAGCGAAAUGCGAUAAGUAGUGUGAAUUGCAGAAUUCAGUGAAUCAUCGAAUCUUUGAACGCACAUUGCGCCCUUUGGUAUUCCAAAGGGCAUGCCUGUUCGAGCGUCAUUUGUACCCUCAAGCUUUGCUUGGUGUUGGGCGUCUUGUCUCUAGCUUUGCUGGAGACUCGCCUUAAAGUAAUUGGCAGCCGGCCUACUGGUUUCGGAGCGCAGCACAAGUCGCACUCUCUAUCAGCAAAGGUCUAGCAUCCAUUAAGCCUUUUUUUCAACUUUUGACCUCGGAUCAGGUAGGGAUACCCGCUGAACUUAAGCAUAUCAAUAAGCGGAGGAAAAGAAACCAACAGGGAUUGCCCUAGUAACGGCGAGUGAAGCGGCAACAGCUCAAAUUUGAAAUCUGGCUCUUUUAGAGUCCGAGUUGUAAUUUGCAGAGGGCGCUUUGGCUUUGGCAGCGGUCCAAGUUCCUUGGAACAGGACGUCACAGAGGGUGAGAAUCCCGUACGUGGUCGCUGGCUAUUGCCGUGUAAAGCCCCUUCGAC